This 820-nucleotide ribosomal RNA is filed under the name uncultured Christensenella sp. RNAcentral's name for it is "bacterial SSU rRNA". It matches the Rfam family "Bacterial small subunit ribosomal RNA", at positions 36 to 840 of the family's 1533-position model. The record is from RNAcentral. Lineage: Bacteria; Bacillati; Bacillota; Clostridia; Christensenellales; Christensenellaceae.
CAGGCGGCUGCUACCAUGCAGUCGAACGUGAUCCGCCCUUCGGGGUGGUGAAAGUGGCGCACGGGUGAGUAACGCGUGGAUAAUCUGCCCGAGGAUUUGGGAUAACAUCUCGAAAGGGGUGCUAAUACCGAAUAAGCCCACGGGGUCUACGGAUCUUGCGGGAAAAGGGGGGGACCUUCGGGCCUCCUGUCCUUGGAUGAGUCUGCGUACCAUUAGCUAGUUGGUGGGGUAAUGGCCUACCAAGGCGACGAUGGUUAGCUGGUCUGAGAGGAUGAUCAGCCACACUGGAACUGAGACACGGUCCAGACUCCUACGGGAGGCAGCAGUGGGGAAUUUUGCGCAAUGGGGGAAACCCUGACGCAGCAACGCCGCGUGGGUGAUGAAGGCCUUCGGGUCGUAAAGCUCUGUCUGGAGGGAAGAAAUGAUUGGGAGCUAAUACCUCUUGAUCUUGACGGUACCUCUGAAGGAAGCACCGGCUAACUCCGUGCCAGCAGCCGCGGUAAUACGGAGGGUGCAAGCGUUGUUCGGAAUUAUUGGGCGUAAAGCGCGUGUAGGCGGUCUUUUAAGUCUGAUGUGAAAGCCCCGGGCUCAACCUGGGAAGUGCAUUGGAAACUGGGAGGCUUGAGUACGGGAGAGGAGAGUGGAAUUCCUAGUGUAGGAGUGAAAUCCGUAGAUAUUAGGAGGAACACCGGUGGCGAAGGCGGCUCUCUGGACCGAUACUGACGCUGAGACGCGAAAGCGUGGGUAGCAAACAGGAUUAGAUACCCUGGUAGUCCACGCCGUAAACGAUGAGUACUAGGUGUUGCGGGUAUUGACCCCU